GCCCUGGGUGAACCAUGUAUGAUAUACAUAA
This 31-nucleotide non-coding RNA is filed under the name Homo sapiens (human). The record is from RNAcentral. Lineage: Eukaryota; Metazoa; Chordata; Mammalia; Primates; Hominidae.